AUGGCGUCCCACGUAGUUGGAUAUCCUCGCUUCGGCCCCAACAGGGAGCUGAAGUUUGCCCUGGAAUCAUUCUGGCAUGGAAAGAGCACCGCCAAAGAUUUGCUGGAAGCCGGGGCUCAUCUCAAGUCAUCCAUCUGGAAGCAGAUGGCCGCUGUCGGCAUCAAAUAUAUUCCCAGCAACACCUUCUCAUACUAUGAUCAGGUGCUUGACACCACUGCGAUGCUCGGUGCUGUUCCUCCCAGAUAUAGUUGGAACGGUGGCAAGAUCGGGUUUGACGUUUACUUCUCGAUGGUCAGAGGAACCGCCUCCGUCUCUGCUAUGGAGAUGACCAAGUGGUUCGACACCAACUACCACUACAUCGUCCCUGAAUUAUGCCCCGAUGUCAACUUCUCUUACGCUUCUCGCAAGGCUGUCGAGGAGUACGAGGAGGCCCAGAAGCUUGGAGUAGACACUGUUCCGGUCCUUCUUGGCCCAGUCUCCUAUCUGCUGCUAUCCAAGCCUGCAAAGGGUGUGGAGAAGACCUUUUCUCCUCUCUCCCUUCUCCGGAAAAUACUUCCUAUCUACGGGGAAGUUGUGUCCGAACUUAAGGCUGCUGGUGCUUCAUGGAUUCAGUUUGAUGAGCCCACCCUCGUGAUGGAUCUUGAUUCUCACAAACUGCAAGCAUUUACUGAAGCAUACUCGGAACUGGAAUCAUGUCUUUCUGGCGUGAAUGUUGUCGUCGAGACAUAUUUUGCUGAUGUUCCUGCUGAGGCAUAUAAUGUUCUUACUUCCUUGAAGGGUGUCGCUGGAUUUGGAUUUGAUUUGGUCCGAGGAACAAAGACCCUUGAUUUAAUCAAGGGUGGCUUCCCCACAGGCAAGUAUCUCUUUGCUGGAGUUGUUGAUGGGAGGAACAUCUGGGCCAAUGAUCUUGCUGGAUCGCUCAGCACGCUCCUUGCCCUCGAGAGCAUCGUGGGAAAAGACAGACUUGUGGUCUCCACCUCCUGCUCUCUUUUGCACGUUCCUGUUGACCUAGUUAAUGAGACCAAGUUGGAUGAGGAAAUCAAGUCAUGGCUUGCAUUUGCUGCUCAGAAGGUCGUUGAAGUCACUGCCUUGGCCAAGGCAUUGGCUGGACAAAAGGAUGAGGCAUUAUUCUCAGCUAAUGCUGCUGCUCAGGCCUUAAGAAACUCCUCUCCAAGAGUCAACAACGAAGCUGUCCAAAAGGCUACUGCUGCUUUGAGGGGCUCUGAUUGUCGCCGUGCCAGACCCAUCAGUGUUAGACUUGAUGCUCAGCAAAAGAAGAUUAAUUUACCAGUCAUCCCAACAACCGUCAUUGGCUCCUUCCCUCAGACCGAGGAACUCAGAAGAGUGCACUGUGAGUACAAGGACAAAAUGAUCUCCGAGGAAGAAUUUGUUAAGGCCAUCAAGGAGGAAAUUAACAAAGUUGUCAAGCUUCAAGAGGAGCUUGACAUAGAUGUCUUGGUUCAUGGGGAGCCUGAGAGGAAUGAUAUGGUUGAAUACUUUGGGGAGCAGUUGUCAGGUUUUGCUUUCACCAUUAACGGGUGGGUGCAAUCUUAUGGAUCUCAUUGUGUAAAACCACCCAUCAUCUAUGGUGAUGUUAGCCGCCCCAAGCCAAUGACUGUCUUGUGGUCCACCAUGGCCCAAAGCAUGACUGCUCGCCCAGUGAAGGGAAUGCUCACAGGCCCUGUCACCAUUCUCAACUGGUCCUUUGUCCGAAAUGACCAACCUAGGCUUGAAACUUGCUAUCAAAUUGCCUUGGCCAUCAAGGACGAAGUUGAGGAUCUUGAGAAGGCGGGGAUUAAUGUUAUUCAAAUUGAUGAGGCAGCUUUGAGAGAGGGUCUGCCACUGAGAAAGUCUGAACAAUCUUUCUAUUUGAAUUGGGCUGUCCACUCUUUUAGGAUCACUAACUGGGUGCCAAGGAUACUACCCAGAUCCACACCCACAUGUACUCCUACUUCAACGACAUCAUCCACUCGAUCAUCGACAUGGAUGCCGAUGUCAUCACAAUCGAGAACUCUCGCUCUGAUGAGAAGCUCAUCUCUGUUAUCCACAAGGGAGUGGAGUUUGGUACUGGGAUUGGCCCCAGUGUCUAUGACAUCCACUCUCUCAUAAUACCAUCGGCUGAAGAGAUUGCCGACAAAACCACCAAGAUGCUCACAACAAACAUACUGUGGUUUAACCCUGAGUUUGUGCUCAAGACUUGUAAACACACUGGGGUCAAGCUUGCGCUCAAGAUCUUCAUUGCUGCUGCUGAGCUUCUCGCACCGAACUUGCCCAUGCUAAAAAAGAGAAGUAUGAGUAACUUUUCUCGUCAAUCGAUUCUUCCUACACACGAGGGAAUGCGCCUGUCUUUUAAUAUUGAUCCAAUAAUUGAGUUUCUCUAUGUAAUGUUACGAGUCAUAUGGAGUAUAUUAGUUUUGUCCUUGUACUCUCUCCUCCAGAACAUGUGCGAAUAUAAUGAUAUAGAUAAUGAAUAA
Molecule: RNA transcript, 2474 nt
Organism: Eucalyptus grandis
Lineage: Eukaryota; Viridiplantae; Streptophyta; Magnoliopsida; Myrtales; Myrtaceae
Gene name: 5-methyltetrahydropteroyltriglutamate--homocysteine methyltransferase
Exons: 11
Source: RefSeq, a predicted model, not a curated record